RNAcentral lists this transfer RNA (52 nucleotides) under Rhodospirillaceae bacterium. RNAcentral's name for it is "tRNA-Leu". It matches the Rfam family "tRNA", at positions 23 to 71 of the family's 71-position model. From Rfam's summary of the family: Transfer RNA (tRNA) molecules are approximately 80 nucleotides in length. Their secondary structure includes four short double-helical elements and three loops (D, anti-codon, and T loops). Further hydrogen bonds mediate the characteristic L-shaped molecular structure. tRNAs have two regions of fundamental functional importance: the anti-codon, which is responsible for specific mRNA codon recognition, and the 3' end, to which the tRNAs corresponding amino acid is attached (by aminoacyl-tRNA synthetases). tRNAs cope with the degeneracy of the genetic code in two manners: having more than one tRNA (with a specific anti-codon) for a particular amino acid; and 'wobble' base-pairing, i.e. permitting non-standard base-pairing at the 3rd anti-codon position. Lineage: Bacteria; Pseudomonadati; Pseudomonadota; Alphaproteobacteria; Rhodospirillales; Rhodospirillaceae. The record is from RNAcentral.
ACACCGGCCUUUCACGCCGGCAACGCGGGUUCAAAUCCCGCUGGGGUCACCA